RNAcentral lists this ribosomal RNA (354 nucleotides) under uncultured bacterium. Its description in RNAcentral is "partial 16S ribosomal RNA". It matches the Rfam family "Bacterial small subunit ribosomal RNA", at positions 338 to 706 of the family's 1533-position model. The record is from RNAcentral.
CCUACGGGUGGCAGCAGUGGGGAAUAUUGGGCAAUGGAGGCAACUCUGACCCAGCAACGCCGCGUGAAUGAUGAAGGUCUUCGGAUUGUAAAGUUCUGUGAUGGGGGAUGAACACAAUGACGGUACCCCAAUAGCAAGCCACGGCUAACUACGUGCCAGCAGCCGCAGUAAUACGUAGGUGGCAAGCGUUAUCCGGAAUGACUGGGCGUAAAGGGUGCGUAGGUGGUUUAGUAAGUUGGCGGUGUAAUUCCGGGGCUCAACCUCGGCGCUACCGCCAAAACUAUUAGACUAGAGUGCAGGGGGGGUAAGUGGGAUUCCGAGUGGAGGGGUUGAAUGCGUAGAUAAUAAGAGGAA